RNAcentral lists this ribosomal RNA (305 nucleotides) under uncultured bacterium. RNAcentral describes it as "bacterial SSU rRNA". It matches the Rfam family "Bacterial small subunit ribosomal RNA", at positions 337 to 640 of the family's 1533-position model. The record is from RNAcentral.
CCCUACGGGGGGCAGCAGUGAGGAAUAUUGGUCAAUGGGCGCGAGCCUGAACCAGCCAAGUCGCGUGAGGGAAGACGGUCCUAUGGAUUGUAAACCUCUUUUGUCGGGGAGCAAAAGACGCCACGUGUGGCGUUCCGAGAGUACCCGAAGAAAAAGCAUCGGCUAACUCCGUGCCAGCAGCCGCGGUAAUACGGAGGAUGCGAGCGUUAUCCGGAUUUAUUGGGUUUAAAGAGUGCGCAGGCGGAAGAUCAAGUCAGCGGUAAAAUUGAGAGGCUCAACCUCUUCGAGCCGUUGAAACUGGUUUU